Molecule: ribosomal RNA, 446 nt
Filed under: uncultured bacterium
Lineage: Bacteria
Description: partial 16S ribosomal RNA
Rfam family: Bacterial small subunit ribosomal RNA
Source: RNAcentral
CCUACGGGAGGCAGCAGUCGAGAAUCAUUCACAAUGGGGGAAACCCUGAUGGUGCGACGCCGCGUGGGGGAAUGAAGGUCUUCGGAUUGUAAACCCCUGUCAUGUGGGAGCAAAUUAAAAAGAUAGUACCACAAGAGGAAGAGACGGCUAACUCUGUGCCAGCAGCCGCGGGAAUACAGAGGUCUCAAGCGUUGUUCGGAAUCACUGGGCGUAAAGCGUGCGUAGGCUGUUUCGUAAGUCGUGUGUGAAAGGCGCGGGCUCAACCCGCGGACGGCACAUGAUACUGCGAGACUAGAGUAAUGGAGGGGGAACCGGAAUUCUCGGUGUAGCAGUGAAAUGCGUAGAUAUCGAGAGGAACACUCGUGGCGAAGGCGGGUUCCUGGACAUUAACUGACGCUGAGGCACGAAGGCCAGGGGAGCGAAAGGGAUUAGAUACCCGUGUAGUC